Molecule: non-coding RNA, 686 nt
Organism: Camellia sinensis
Lineage: Eukaryota; Viridiplantae; Streptophyta; Magnoliopsida; Ericales; Theaceae
Source: RefSeq, a predicted model, not a curated record
GAGAAGAGCUAGGGUUUUAGUUUCAGUAGUAUAACUCAGAACGACUCUCUUCUCUUCUCUUCUCUGCAAAGAAAAAAUAAAAGAAAGAAAGACGAGGCAAGGAUGUUUCCGGGAAUGUUCGCUCGGAAACCGGACAAAGAAGUGGCUCUGAAGCAGCUUCGCAGCCACGUAGCCAUGUUCGGUGUUUGGGUCACCGUGGUUCGGAUCACCCCUUACGUUCUCCACUACUUCUCUGAUCGCAAUGAACAACUCAACCUCGACUUCUAAUCCUCCUCCUCCUCCUUCUUCACAUCUCACUCUUUUCGAUUGGGCGGGCCUGUGGGGAGGGAAUACUGGAUGGAGAGAGAUUAGUUUUCUCUUUUAUUUUGAAUCAAUAAUCGUGAGGCAAACAUGUACUAGUGUUGGGCGUGCCUGUAGGGAGGGAAUGCUGGGAUGGAGAGAUCAGUUUUCUCUUUUGAACCAGUAAUUGUGAGGCAAACAUGUACUAGUGGUAAAGCUUACGUGUUACUUUAAAUUUCACGGCAUUAGAAGAUAGAAUUCAGGUUCACCUUUUCUUAUGUUUGUUACUGUGGCAUUUUGAAUGUGCCUUGUGCUAGUAGUGGUGCUCAGUUAUUGGGUAAUACGGGUGUUCGGUGAAAAUUAUUUUAAACUAAAAGUUACUGAUUAAAAAGUAAAAGUUAAAAGUA